GAAGAAAAAGGAACCUAAAUAUCUACCCCAGUCAAUUCAAAAACGGCUGGAUACCAUUAAUUCUCUUGAUUUGUUAUUUCAAAAUUCAAUCCAUUCUGACGAUAGUAGUUUCCAAGGAUAAGACUUUACUUGAUAUCAUCUUUUGAAAUCAUUUCCCUCAAACACUCCUUCAGUCUGUAUUUUUUAGCCAUCUUCUCUGCAAAGCGAAAAUAUGGUGCUUUAGCUCUUCUCCCAUCAGGUAAAAGGUUUCUCCUCUAUCAAGAGCGUCUUUUGCUAGUCUAUAUGCAUGCGAGUUCCCUAAUCUGUGAAUAUGCUGAAAGAUAAUCUCUUGAAAACAAGGUUUCUUAUUCUGAAUGUCUUUGAUAAUAGCUUCAAUCACUGAUUUAUUUGUUAAAUUCAUUUGGUAUUUUUUGAUUAUUAUUUUGGAGUCCCUAUAAGUUUAACCGAUUGAAGUCCCAGUGAGAUCCCUAACUUUGUGCCUUCUAAACAUGCAUACGCUUUUGCUGCAAAUGGGGAGGAAAUAUUAUUGUGAAUGAUCGUCUUUAAGACCAGUAGUUCCCCCCUCAGAUCCUAACCCACCAGACCUGCUGCUGAUUUGAAGUUUCUACUAUCAAACGCUGCAUCGAAAUGGAUCGUUAUUCUCGGUAUGUCCUCCUGGAUUCUGUAAUUUCUGUUCAUAUUAGCAGGAAUCUUAAUUGCUUUCAUUCCUUCAUAUUUUGCCAUAUGCCUCUGUAUGUUUUGUGCUAAAACUACUCCUGUUGUACUUUUCCCCUCAUGUAUGAAUUGAUUUCUGGAAAACCAUAUUAACCAUAAAGCAUAACAGAAGAGUCGGCAUUGAGCGUCGUUACCUCUCUUGAAAAUCCAAGUUAGCCACUCCCUUAGAAUUUGAUUCAUAUUAUUCAUGACCCAGGACAAAUUUAAAAACUGCCAAACUUCUGUUGUUGUAGGACAUUCACGGAAGAUAUGAAGGCUAUCUUCUGCCCAGGAGCAGCAACGGGGACAUCUGUCGUUUGAAAUGACUUCUCUGUACCUGAGAUUAGCAAGAUUAGGAAUAAAAUCCCAGGAAAUUCGCCAAAUAGUGAUUACGAUUUUUGAAGGUAGCUGGAGGCUCCAUAAUUUCCUGUAAAAUUCUUUAGUUUCGGUCUAUAAUAAAUAAUUAGUAGGAUCCAGAAUAGCAUAUUGUAACUGCGUAUUGAAUACUCGCCGGAUAAUUCUCCUUUCCAGACUUGAGUAACCUCGUGAUCAGUCUCUGCAAGAGGGAUCUGUAGAAUUUUUUGAGCAAUUUCUGCUUGAAAGGUACUAUUAAUCAAAUCCGACCUCCAUUUUCUGUUUGUAUUAUCAAUAAGAUCCGAGACUAACUGUAAUUCCCUAUUGUUUGAUCUAUUAUGUCCAUCAACUGUAUCAAUCCCCCGUAUCCAGCUAUCUUCCCAAAUAGAAAUUUUGUCUCCUUUGCCCACUCUCCAGCACAUCCCUUUUUGGAGAAGUCCCUUUGCUGCCCAAAUACUCUUCAGGUAAGUGAAGGUAAAUUUCCCAAACUCUGCAUUUAGAAAACUUGAUUGCGGAUAGUACUUUGCUUUUAAAACUCUGGCUAAUAAAGAAUUUGGAUAAUUAAUAAGGCGCUAACCCUGUUUGGCUAAUAAUGCAAUAUUAAAUUGACCAAGAUUUCGAAAACCUAAACCACCAUUUUCUUUUAAGGAACAAAGGUUUUUCCAAAUGCACCAAUAAAUUCCCCUUUUUCCAUGUCCCUUUUGCCACCAGAACCUCGCAACGAUACUUUUGAGUUCAUCACAUAAAACUUUAAGUAAUAAAAAACAAGCCAUCGUGUAAUCACAUAAAACUUUAAGUAAUAAAAAACAAGCCAUCGUGUAAGUUGGUAUAGCUUGAAGAAUGACCUUUAUAAAUACUUCCUUUCCACCCUGAGAUAUAUUGUAACACCCCUUACCCGUAUUCGACACCGGAAUAGGGUAUGAGGCAUUACUAGAACACAUACACUUAUAAACAUGUUAAACUAAGUUAUAAAAUUUUAUUCAAAUUUAAACUCUUCACGUUAUAACUUCAAAAUACUAUAUUUGUAACAAAUAGGGCAUCUAAGACCUAAUACAUAUUCAUGCAAUCCAAUAGUUCAUUUCCAUUUCAUUUAAUUCACGAUUCUCAUGUUCACGAUUUAAUUCAAUUUCUCAAUCCCAAUAUACAUUUCAAUACCACAUUAAUCAUUUAAUUCACGUACAGUUCAAUUUCAUAAAGUUCAAUACUAAUACAUAUUUAUCGUUUAACUUAAUGUCCCCUUUUUACGUCAUUUUACACUUUAAGCAUGAACUUAGUAUUUCGUUUCUUUUCCACUCCCGUUUCCUAUGCAUAUCGCACAAGAUAUAAAUAUAUCAUUCAACCAUAGUCACAAGCUAAUGCAUUUAACCAUAGUAUUUUUCGAAUUGAUCACAUGAUAAGUCAUUUCAUAAGAAAUUGCAUAAUCUAAACCUUACCACUUUUUAGUGAGCGCUAGCAUACUUUCACUUAAAUACUUUCCAAUUCAAUGCAUUAUAUAAAAAAUCAUAAUACCAUUCAACCAAUAGCUUGGCACUUGCCUAAGCAUCAAGCAAGAAUACUAGUUAGUGUACUUGCACACAUUACAUAUAAACUCAUCAUGUAUAAUUUUCUUGCUUCAACAUAUUAAAGAUAAUCAUACAUUUACAUGUCAUGAUACAUAUCAUUCUCUUAUCAUUUCUUAAUAGGCAUAUAUCAUUCAUUUCAUUAUUUCGAUAUUUCAUGUACCAUCAUUUUCAUGAAUUUCGCGUACAUACCGGUAAUAGUUUAUUUUAAACUCAUGUUAUCUCACUUCAGAACUUUACCCGUUAUAUCAUUUAAAUAUCAAUGGUUACAUUUAUUUUAGAUCAAUACCAAUAAUAAUCUUUCAAUCUUUCAAUUCAACCACAUAAGUCUUUUACCAUUUCUUUCUGUAUCGAAGAACGACUUACGAAUAUGAGUACAUCGUUUUUAGAAGCUCGAAGGCCGAACUUAAGCUCAUGAGAGCUAAGCAGAUAGUAAACACGAAAGUCCGCAACAAAUGCUAAACCUCGGUUUACUUUGGUAAUUUGCCGUCAAUUCAUCCUUUACAUUUGUAAUGCCAUAACCCAGUUAUGGUCUUAUCCGUCAAUUCAUCCUUUGGUGCAGAACGAUUGUACUCAAUCCCGCGUUCAAUCCAAACUGGGUAUUAAAUUCGAUAAUAUAUUUCCAAUAACAAUUCAAUUCCAUGUUUUCUAUUACCCUUAUUAUUUACCAAAUUUAUCCCGUUGAAUUUCUCGGAAAUUCGAUAGAUUUUCAGAGGUACACUUUUAGUGUACAAAUUCGAGUCCGUCAAUUCAUAUUCAUGUGUGCACAUUUCCAUUUCAGAUAGCACACUCCCGCGAACCUCGUUCUUAUAGCGGGAUUACCAAUCCAGGCUAAAUCCCCUGUAAGAGAGCACAUUCCCACAAACCUUAUUCCUUACAGUGGGAUUACCAGUCCAGGCUAAAUCCCCUGUAAUAUAAACUCAUAGAGUAUUGUCGGGAUUACCAGUCCAGGCUAAAUCCCCUGCAACGACAAUUACUCUAAUGAGCUUGGAUCUGAAUUACCAGUCCAAGCUAAAUUCAAACCCUAAUUCGGAUUGCUCGUCCGGGCUAAAUCCAUUUCCACAUAUUCUUUGGGAGGGCUAUAUCAAGAUCACCUGUCCGGGCUAGAUCUUUUUCACACAUAUUCUUCGGGAGGGCUAUAUCAAGAUAGGAUCACCCGUUCGGGCUAGAUCUUUUUUACCGUCAAUUCCUUUUUAG
RNAcentral lists this long non-coding RNA (3803 nucleotides) under Gossypium barbadense (sea-island cotton). RNAcentral describes it as "long non-coding RNA (GBAR_LNC017725)". The record is from RNAcentral. Lineage: Eukaryota; Viridiplantae; Streptophyta; Magnoliopsida; Malvales; Malvaceae.